RNAcentral lists this ribosomal RNA (253 nucleotides) under uncultured bacterium. Its description in RNAcentral is "partial 16S ribosomal RNA". It matches the Rfam family "Bacterial small subunit ribosomal RNA", at positions 524 to 776 of the family's 1533-position model. The record is from RNAcentral.
UACGAAGGGGGCUAGCGUUGUUCGGAAUCACUGGGCGUAAAGCGCACGUAGGCGGCGCGUUAAGUCAGGGGUGAAAUCCUGGAGCUCAACUCCAGAACUGCCUUUGAUACUGGCGUGCUCGAGUGUGGGAGAGGUUGGUGGAACUCCGAGUGUAGAGGUGAAAUUCGUAGAUAUUCGGAAGAACACCAGUGGCGAAGGCGGCCAACUGGCCCAUUACUGACGCUGAGGUGCGAAAGCGUGGGGAGCAAACAGG